RNAcentral lists this long non-coding RNA (276 nucleotides) under Selaginella moellendorffii. RNAcentral describes it as "long non-coding RNA (SMOE_LNC001052)". The record is from RNAcentral. Lineage: Eukaryota; Viridiplantae; Streptophyta; Lycopodiopsida; Selaginellales; Selaginellaceae.
GCAAUGGACAGCUUCGAGCGUGAGGUAUGUUCUUCUAACUAGCAAGGAUGUGUCAAAUGAGAAGGCCUCUUGCUGUGCAAAAGUUUUGGAGUUUGAUCUGUGAAGGAGAUGCAGCCUGGAUGGAACUCCAUCAAUUCGAAAAGAACGCUUUGCCACUUUUCAGGUGUUCGUAUGCUCGUGGCACAAGCUUACCGGCCCAAGAAAGAGAUGGCAGCAUCAAGGUCAUCAGAAACAUUCAACCAAAGGUGGAAAUCAAGUGCCUCCAGGAUUGCCUUG